CAAAUUUCUUCUUUAUUUUCUCGUUCAAAAUUGGUUCUUUGGUUCUACUUCUCUUCUAUUUUAUUUAAUUCUUCCAUUUUCUUUAAGGUUAAGCUAUUUUUGGUUCCCCAUUUCCUCUUUAAUUCUUUCACUGCAAAAAAAAGGAAUAGGUCCUAAUGGCAAUGGGAAAGAACCUGUUGAAUAGGAAAAGCUCUAAGUGAAGAUUUCUGGUUUGAUGUUGUCGUAGCAGGGAACCAAUCAUAUUAACGGCCUAUUGUGAGCCAUCUCUUGCUUUGCUGUAACAUUUAUUUGUUGUGGCAUUAGGCUAUGUUAGUCACCGCCGGAUGAAUUUUAAUAAUUGUAACUAAAAAUGAUAUUUUGUAACUAUGGAUGCUUAUUUGUAGCCUUAUUGGCAUAAUAUCAUCUUGGUUUUACGUGAUAACAGAUGAAAAUUGAAUUUUUAAAUUGCUAUUCGAGCGAUA
Gossypium raimondii (Peruvian cotton) is the source of this 461-nucleotide long non-coding RNA. RefSeq lists it as uncharacterized. NCBI's taxonomy places the organism in Eukaryota, Viridiplantae, Streptophyta, Magnoliopsida, Malvales, Malvaceae. The transcript has 4 exons. The record is from RefSeq and is a predicted model, not a curated record.